GGAUUAGAUACCCUGGUAGUCCACGCCGUAAACGGUGAGAGCUCGUCGUAGUGGGUAUUGACCCCUGCUGUGACCAAGUUAACGCAUGAAGCUCUCCGCCUGGGAAGUACGGUCGCAAGACUAAAACUCAAAGAAAUUGACGGGGGCCCGCACAAGCGGUGGAGCAUGUUGUUUAAUUCGAAGCAACGCGCAGAACCUUACCUGGAUUUGACAUCUCGGGAAUCUUCCUGAAAAGGAAGAGUGCCUUCGGGAACCCGAUGACAGGUGCUGCAUGGCUGUCGUCAGCUCGUGCCG
Molecule: ribosomal RNA, 294 nt
Filed under: uncultured bacterium
Lineage: Bacteria
Description: partial 16S ribosomal RNA
Rfam family: Bacterial small subunit ribosomal RNA
Source: RNAcentral